ACUCCCAUCAUGGUGACAGUGCUGGCACGGCGGUCACGUUGCAGUGACACCCUUCACGGUGACACUGUUGGCACGGCGGUGCCAUCACGGUGACACUGUUGGCACGGCGAUGCCAUCACGGUGACACUGUUGGCACGGCGGUCACGUCACGGUGACCCCCAUCGUGGUGACAUUGCUGGUACAGCAGUGCUGGCACGGUGACACCCAUUGCAGCGACCAGGGGGUGGCACAGUAGUGUCGCGGUGACGCCCAUCGCGGUGACGCCGUGGGCACGGCGCUGCCACCACCCAGCGCGGCGUUGUCCCCUGCACCCGUGGCGGUGGUGCCCACCCGGCAUCACCCCGGUGCCGUCCAGCGGUGACGCCGGGCUCGGUGGUCCCAGUCCGGCUCUGCCGCCUGUCCCAGCCGUUGGCCGUGCCCGGUGCCGUCCCGGUGACGUUGGCGGUGCCGUCCCGGUGACGCCCUUAGGCCUCCGAGGCCGCUUGGGGUUUCAGCUGCGCCUUCUCCAUGGCCGUGCCGUAGGGCACCGAGCGUUUGAAGAAGCCAAGCUUGGGGGGG
RNAcentral lists this long non-coding RNA (558 nucleotides) under Numida meleagris (helmeted guineafowl). Its description in RNAcentral is "lncRNA (ENSNMEG00000004225.1)". Lineage: Eukaryota; Metazoa; Chordata; Aves; Galliformes; Numididae. The record is from RNAcentral.